Molecule: long non-coding RNA, 994 nt
Filed under: Sorghum bicolor (sorghum)
Lineage: Eukaryota; Viridiplantae; Streptophyta; Magnoliopsida; Poales; Poaceae
Description: long non-coding RNA (SBIC_LNC007183)
Source: RNAcentral
GGGAGACUACGAUAUGCACGGGUGACGCGGCUCAGUGAUCACCGGGGGUGCUGGACGCGGUUGAUGAGCAUGCAGGUGUCAACUGUGCUAGAGGCAAUGUGAUCUAGGUUACGCAUGAUGAGACGGGCACAUAACAACGAUGUGUGCUGGAGGGUUGUUGGUAUGUGCAAGUUCCUUUGAGCGCCUUUAGGAUUUGCUUCAAGAUCAACGAUGCCCGAUCUCUUCACGCCAUAGAGUACAGUCUCUCCAGGGCUAUUACCAAUUAGAGUGACGCCAGUGACAACCGCCACCAUUACGGAUGAAAAUGGUUAGAAAUGGAGGCUAAAUUGCUUUUAUUUUUAUUUUUUUUCUCGAAAAUGAAGUCGAUAACAUAUUGUCGGAAAUGAAUACGGCACCGAUAUUAUGGUAAUUUUGAAAGUAGUAGUAGUAGUUAAUCAAAAAAUACAUCGAUAAUGAUCGGAAUCCAUGGGACUGAUAUCCUCAAAAUGGUAUUACACAUACCAUAGAACAUGAGAAUUGCCAUAUAACUCGACUUAUCUCACAUGACAAUAAUAAAUAAAGCCACAAUUGACAAACGAUAGUUUACACCAUCUUAGAUCUCAAACAAGUUAAACUCUAAAUUCUGUUCGUGUUUGUAGUGAUGACUGGCUAGAGUUAUAGGUGCAGUAUGUGAUUGAUUAAUUGUCUUCUUGUUCCUAUACGGAUGAAAUACAUACGGUAUAGUUGCUUUCCAAAAAAAUAUUUACCUUAUGUGCUUGCGUGUGUGCAGAUGGAAUUCUUAGAUGUGGGCCAACUAAACCUAAAGUAUAUGCAUUAUAUAGUUUAUAAAUAAAUUAGGAUUCAGGACUUUCGAAUUGAUUAUUACCGACGAUAAAUUACCAGCUAAAUACGGCAAUCUUCAAAAAUGAUCGGAAGAGGAUAAAAUCGUUUUCGCUUUCAUUUCCAAAUAUUUUUAUUUUUGUCAUUUUCGUUUUUUAGUUAUCGCUACAGUUUC